AGUAGGGAAUCUUCCGCAAUGGACGAAAGUCUGACGGAGCAACGCCGCGUGAACGAUGAAGGCUUUCGGGUCGUAAAGUUCUGUUGUUAGGGAAGAACAAGUACCGAAGUAACUGCCGGUACCUUGACGGUACCUAACCAGAAAGCCACGGCUAACUACGUGCCAGCAGCCGCGGUAAUACGUAGGUGGCAAGCGUUGUCCGGAAUUAUUGGGCGUAAAGCGCGCGCAGGCGGCCCUUUAAGUCUGAUGUGAAAGCCCACGGCUCAACCGUGGAGGGUCAUUGGAAACUGGGGGACUUGAGUACAGAAGAGGAAAGUGGAAUUCCACGUGUAGCGGUGAAAUGCGUAGAGAUGUGGAGGAACACCAGUGGCGAAGGCGACUUUCUGGUCUGUAACUGACGCUGAGGCGCGAAAGCGUGGGGAGCAAACAGGAUUAGAUACCCUGGUAGUCCACGCCGUAAACGAUGAGUGCUAAGUGUUAGAGGGUUUCCGCCCUUUAGUGCUGCAGCUAACGCAUUAAGCACUCCGCCUGGGGAGUACGGCCGCAAGCUG
This 551-nucleotide ribosomal RNA is filed under the name uncultured bacterium. RNAcentral's name for it is "bacterial SSU rRNA". It matches the Rfam family "Bacterial small subunit ribosomal RNA", at positions 353 to 896 of the family's 1533-position model. The record is from RNAcentral.